Molecule: ribosomal RNA, 491 nt
Filed under: uncultured bacterium
Lineage: Bacteria
Description: partial 16S ribosomal RNA
Rfam family: Bacterial small subunit ribosomal RNA
Source: RNAcentral
GUGAACGCUGGCGGUAGGCCCAACACAUGCAAGUCGAACGGCAGCACAGUAAGAGCUUGCUCUUACGGGUGGCGAGUGGCGGACGGGUGAGGAAUACAUCGGAAUCUACUUUUUCGUGGGGGAUAACGUAGGGAAACUUACGCUAAUACCGCAUACGACCUACGGGUGAAAGCAGGGGAUCUUCGGACCUUGCGCGAUUGAAUGAGCCGAUGUCGGAUUAGCUAGUUGGCGGGGUAAAGGCCCACCAAGGCGACGAUCCGUAGCUGGUCUGAGAGGAUGAUCAGCCACACUGGAACUGAGACACGGUCCAGACUCCUACGGGAGGCAGCAGUGGGGAAUAUUGGACAAUGGGCGCAAGCCUGAUCCAGCCAUACCGCGUGGGUGAAGAAGGCCUUCGGGUUGUAAAGCCCUUUUGUUGGGAAAGAAAAGCAGCAGGUUAAUACCCCGCUGUUCUGACGGUACCCAAAGAAUAAGCACCGGCUAACUUCGUG